This 908-nucleotide ribosomal RNA is filed under the name Escherichia coli. RNAcentral describes it as "partial 23S ribosomal RNA". It matches the Rfam family "Bacterial large subunit ribosomal RNA", at positions 1920 to 2825 of the family's 2925-position model. Lineage: Bacteria; Pseudomonadati; Pseudomonadota; Gammaproteobacteria; Enterobacterales; Enterobacteriaceae. The record is from RNAcentral.
CCGGUAAACGGCGGCCGUAACUAUAACGGUCCUAAGGUAGCGAAAUUCCUUGUCGGGUAAGUUCCGACCUGCACGAAUGGCGUAAUGAUGGCCAGGCUGUCUCCACCCGAGACUCAGUGAAAUUGAACUCGCUGUGAAGAUGCAGUGUACCCGCGGCAAGACGGAAAGACCCCGUGAACCUUUACUAUAGCUUGACACUGAACAUUGAGCCUUGAUGUGUAGGAUAGGUGGGAGGCUUUGAAGUGUGGACGCCAGUCUGCAUGGAGCCGACCUUGAAAUACCACCCUUUAAUGUUUGAUGUUCUAACGUUGGCCCCUGAUCGGGGUUGCGGACAGUGUCUGGUGGGUAGUUUGACUGGGGCGGUCUCCUCCUAAAGAGUAACGGAGGAGCACGAAGGUUGGCUAAUCCUGGUCGGACAUCAGGAGGUUAGUGCAAUGGCAUAAGCCAGCUUGACUGCGAGCGUGACGGCGCGAGCAGGUGCGAAAGCAGGUCAUAGUGAUCCGGUGGUUCUGAAUGGAAGGGCCAUCGCUCAACGGAUAAAAGGUACUCCGGGGAUAACAGGCUGAUACCGCCCAAGAGUUCAUAUCGACGGCGGUGUUUGGCACCUCGAUGUCGGCUCAUCACAUCCUGGGGCUGAAGUAGGUCCCAAGGGUAUGGCUGUUCGCCAUUUAAAGUGGUACGCGAGCUGGGUUUAGAACGUCGUGAGACAGUUCGGUCCCUAUCUGCCGUGGGCGCUGGAGAACUGAGGGGGGCUGCUCCUAGUACGAGAGGACCGGAGUGGACGCAUCACUGGUGUUCGGGUUGUCAUGCCAAUGGCACUGCCCGGUAGCUAAAUGCGGAAGAGAUAAGUGCUGAAAGCAUCUAAGCACGAAACUUGCCCCGAGAUGAGUUCUCCCUGACUCCUUGAG